GCAUUAAGUUUGGCCGAAUGUUUGCUAUUAGUUGUGCAGAAAAGUAGUAAAAUGAUAGGUGUAGAAAGAAACAAAAUAAAAGAAAAAUAAGAAAUGAAAUAAAGAACAACAGGGGACCCCUGAACCGGACCGGCCGACCGGAUUGAAACGGACCAGACCGGUCCAAUUCCUUUCUUUCCUCCCUUUCACGCUAGCGAUGGAAGAAGAGCACCAAGAUGGUGCAGCCCCAAAGGGGCGGACAAAGUGGUGGCGCUGGGGGGCUGGCCGGCCGGCCAUCCAGCAGUGACGGCGGCGUAGGCCCCCAUGGUGGUGGUGUUGUUCAAGCUUUUUCUAUCUUCAUCUUCUCCAACCAUUCUUCCAUUUAUGAGUUUCAAGCUUUUUGAGUUCAUGAAGUAAAAAAAAUGCUUUUUCAAACAAGCUCUUCCAAAACAGUAGCAUAAAUCAAGCAACACCACAUACAUAUCCAACUAAAAACAUUCUCACAAGCAAGAACAUGAUUAAUGACAUGGAAUAAAAGACUUCGAGGCUUAUCGACGGAGCAGAGAUUUGCUUCGGUUAUUGUUGAAAUUUUACGGACAAUGUUAAUGACGAGAAACCCGGAAAACUUCAAGAGCAAGGUGAACCCCAUGGCAAAAGAAUGAGCUCGAACCGAUGUCGAAAAGUGGAGAUAGAGGUAUGGAAAGAAUGCUUGAUAGAAGUUGGUUUUUUGUUAGAAAUUUGCAUGUAACAUAAACAUGACAUGAGUCAUUUUCUCAAGAAUGGUGAUGAAUACUUGGUUGAAUCAUUAUGGGAUAGGACUAGAAAAAUUAGGGAUAAUAAAACGAGUCGGUGGUGAACAAUUGAUUGAAAGUCAAUAGUUGACCAAAAAGUCAAUUGUUUGGCCAAAAGUCAAACAUGCCCAAAAAUGUAAAUUUUCUCCUCUUUCCUUGUAGUCCCUUCUAAUGACUUGUAUCCCAAGUGAUUCAUAAUGUAUCUUG
Long non-coding RNA from Vicia villosa (hairy vetch), 977 nucleotides. RefSeq lists it as uncharacterized. NCBI's taxonomy places the organism in Eukaryota, Viridiplantae, Streptophyta, Magnoliopsida, Fabales, Fabaceae. The transcript has 3 exons. The record is from RefSeq and is a predicted model, not a curated record.